Long non-coding RNA from Manis pentadactyla (Chinese pangolin), 6524 nucleotides. RefSeq lists it as uncharacterized. The record is from RefSeq and is a predicted model, not a curated record. The transcript has 10 exons. Lineage: Eukaryota; Metazoa; Chordata; Mammalia; Pholidota; Manidae.
CCCCGCCUCCCGGCUGGGAGGGAGCGCGAGGCACGAGCGCCGCGGCGGGAGGGCUUCCCCCAGCGGCGGUCCUGCGAGCCCACGGGUGGCGUGGAUUUUGGCAGUAGCUGGAAAACAGCAUCAGUUUCACAAGCUUGCAGACAUCACCUCCUUUCUGUCUGGAGAGACCCCCGUGCAGUCUCCAUCCUGCUGUUGGAGCUUUGGCAGGUUGGCACAGAUUUUAAAUGGGUCCCUCCCAUCUUGCAAGUCCUUGAAGAAGAGAUCUUGCCUUACUAAUAUUUGUAUCUCCGGGGCUGUCUGCGCCUGAGACAUUGUAAGCUUUCAGCGUAUUGUUACGUAGGUCCUUGUGGCAACUCCCCGCCGGCCGAGCGCUCAUGCUCAGACGCCUUCACGCACGCCUCCUCCUCUCUCUGAGCUCAGCUCAGUCGUCACUCUUCAGGAGGGUCCUCUUGACCACCCAGACUGAGGUGGCCCCUUGGAAGUCACCCUGGACUGCACCACGGCAUUUUAAUUCCCUCACAUCAAGAGCUUUCUCUCCCAGUCUCCAGAAUCCUUCCCAUGCCACCGGGAUAUGGUAAAGCUAAAGUUCAUCAGAGUCGAAACCUUGAAUGAUCUUUAAAGAAGCAGAGAAAAAGCAUAAAACGAGUCCAACGUCCUCUCAUUUUACUCCAAGCUGCAAUGGAAGGACAUCAUUCUUAAACGAGGACACCUACAGUCCACAAGAGAAGAGAACCUCUCUCUGUUGCUCACAACUAACUUCCUGACACAUAGUUUGUGCUCAGUAAGUAUCUGUGACUGCUUCAGAGCUACCUGUUGAAGGAAUUCAUUACUGAGUGAAAAAAAGGGUUCAGGGAAGGACAGAAAGGUCACUGGUGAGGUCAUCCAGAGGAUCUGGAAUAUGACAUAUGCCUAAUUCCUGGACUGCCUAUUUGGGGAGUUAACAGCCUAGUUAAUAAGGUUCUAUCCUGAGAUGCUUUGGGAUUUCUAUGUCCUCAGACACUGCCAAGGAGAUUCACAAAGGCCGUGGAGCUGGAGGCCACAAAUGGCGAACAAAGGGUAUCUCGCUUUCAACACGACUGACGGAACGUUAUUUCACUUUGACCUGCCUAUCCUUUGGUUCUGCAAUUUGAUUGGUAAUUGAAAGCUGGUGGAGGAGGCUUGGGCAGAGCAAGCAGGCAGCAGAGACGCCGGGCGGCAGUGCUGAAUAAAAGUCAAGCUGAACAGACAGAGCCGCGUGUCUUUUGCCCAGAAACGAGAGUUGAUAUCCCCAAGGCAGCGAAGGAGACCACAGAAAAGGAGGCUGAGAUCUGAGUUCUGAGUCCUGGUGAAAGGCAACAGGCUGAAUAAUGGCCCCCAAAGAUGUCCACAUCCUAAUCUCCAGAACCUGUGAAUACAUCACCUAGAUGGUAAAAUGGACUGUGCAGAUGUGGCUGAGAACUUCCACAUGGAUGUAGGAGAUGAUGUUCCCCUUGGGAGAGAAGAUCAAAGCCACUCUGGGUCUACUUGCUGCCGAGUUUUACUCAUUCAUUGCAGCUUCUACUCCCACCGGCCUGCAGGGUUCUGUGAUAAUGUGGGCUCAAAACUUUGGAAAAAAGAAGAGGGCAGAGAAAAAUCUGUAGUUAUAAAGCACCUAUGCCAGGGCUUGGCUAGAGAGAGAGAGAAGGUUAUGGUUGAUAUGUGGGAACCUGCCUCUAAACAAUCUAUUUUGAAAGACAACAUUUAGUAAUGUAAGUAGCAAGUUACUCCAGAGUGAUGCUAAAGAUGACUCCAGAAAACAUGGGGCCCAUCAAAUGAUAAAUAUUUUUAAAAAGAAAAAAAAAACAAACAGGCAAGACACUAUAGAGUGGAGCUCAGCAAGUGUGUGUUGGGAGACUUGUCCAUUAAUCAACCAUAAUUGGGUGGGAAUGAUGUGUCCAACAGUAGCUCCGGGGGAAUGACAAUACCACUGAUAGAAAAGGGGAAGGUAGGGAAAGACCUAGUCUUUAUUAUAAAUUAGAUUUGGUCGAUGUGUUGAACUGAUCAUAAAUAUCCAGUUGCCUGUGGAUACCAGGUGGUUGAACAGAGAGGACCCCAAGGCAAUCUUUGAUGAUCAGCAGCAUUGAGGCAACUCUUAGCUAAGGACCCGAGAUCACAUUUGGUGUGAUCCUUUUAAAGAGAUGUUGAUGCACAGGUGUGUCCAGAUGGAGAAACCAGGAUGGUGUAGGGCUGAGAACUGCGGCUAGAACAUUCAGCAUAGUCUAUGAGCAAAGCCUACAUGGACGUAUUUUGCCGUCUGCAUUCAGGGGCCUGACUGCAGCAGUAGACUUGUUCUGCAUCCCUGCUAGGAGACAGUUUGCCAUGGGACUCUCACGUUUCUGCUCAUGCUGCAGGCAGGCACGAGUGAUCUGUGUUCCAGACCGUCUUUCCAAGGAUGUUUGUAUAGCAAAGACAGACAUAAUGUCUUCUUCCAGAGCAAAGGGCAGAUGUGCUUACGGCUCAGUGUAAAAGUUUCAAGUUUCCUAAACUCCUCAACUCAGAGGUCCUCUCCUGCAUCACACCCACUGUGUACGUAGAUAUCUUCUGGUCCUCUUCAGGGUGUCUUACGGGAAUUGGAGCUUGGGGACCUGGCUCGACAAUGCUGAUAACUCUUGGCUACUGCAGUUGUGGUGGGUAAUAAUCUGUCCUUUGUCUCUGACUCAGGAAUCUGAUGUUUUCAACCAGCAUCCAUUAAAUGGUGGCAUGCUGACCAUGCGUUAGCUCGCAAGCAGGGAAAAAAAAUCUCAGGCCCUUUAGAGUUUUUGACAGUUACACUCAGAUUCUCAUUCUGGGUCCAUGGAGGAACUGAAGAAAGACCCUGAAAGGAACCUGCAAUUAAAGCCAAGUCAGAGAGAGUAUUUCUCUAAGGGAUGAGAAAAGGGAGAAAAAAAGAACAGGGCCUGAUUGCUUUGGGGCACGCCUCUCAUUAUGGAUGCGGCUCAGACAUUUCGGGAGCAUAUAUUAAGGAUGGUACAGGAUCACGCAACCAAGAGCAUGCAGACAGUCUAACAAAUGACAAGCAGGAUAAGGCGGGAAAUGAGCUGUGGGUUUUUUUAAUGCAAAAAAAAAAAGAAAAUUUUAACAUAAAUUUGCACCAAAAAGAAUACAUUCAAAAUGGACUAGCCUCUCAUACUUUUCUAAAAUAAAAGUCUGUGAAUUUAAGUGAAUGUUUGUAACCCUAGGGCUUCAUUUUAAUUUUUUUUUCCUCGAAAUGAGUAAUUAUUACAGUAUUAUUAUGCAAUUACCUGCUUCCUUGGUGCUGACAGAAAAAUUCAUUGCAAUAUAAAAUUCCUGCUGGGUCUUGGAGGAAGGAGUGUGUAUCUUCAGCACUCUCGCAAGUGCCCUUGAGCUCCCAGAAAAAUCCAGUGGAGAGCUGAGAGGGGCAUAAGGCCCAAGACAAAUUUGUCUUCCAACAAGUUGCUGGUGUGCUGCUAAAAGAAGUUUGAAAGACAUGUCUCACCCUUGCACACAUUUAAAUUGACAUUUAAUUUAUGAAAUAUAAAUAUAAAGAGUUGCAAAGGAUUUAAUUUCCAAUGAGUUGUUAAUCAUAUGAGAAAGAAAAUUGUCCCAAAGCUGUUUGUGGUAGAACUUUUUUGUAUGAUGUAAUUUAUAGCCCCUUCAGUGAAGUAAUUAUGAUUCCUGAUAAAAUGCUUGAGUAAUCUCCGGAUAGACUUUAACAGGAUUAAGAAAUCCCAAGAAGUUAGAGCUCCCCACUUGACUAUCUGAAAACAUGUCAAUCAGACUUGGGCUGUUUGGUUGUGGCACAAUUUCUGUUUUUCUACAGAUCUCUUCCAAGAGAGAAUCCCUGAAUUGAGGCCAGUUUGAAAUAGAAUUUUCACACAUACUUAGAACAAAUUUGUCUGAGAAGUCAUUCUAACAAUUGACAUUUAAAAAUAAAUGUGUUACAUCAUUUUUAAAAUUAUAGGCAAUGGAAUCUAAAAACCAAAAUGGUUUGAUUCUCAGCAUAAUCUACAUGAAAAAAAUUCAGAAGCAAGCUAUUUUUUGACCCCUGGAAGUUUUACAUUUGUCUUUUUCUCCCACUAGAUUCACACUUCUACCCUCCAUUUUAUCCUAGUAUAAUAUUUCUUACAAGUGAAAGUUAAAAAUUAAUGAACCUCUUCUGAUUUUCUACAACAAAAGUCAGUCAGUGAAUCUCUGUGACUAUAAUGCUUUACUUUUUUGUUCCUGGGUUGAGUAAUUAUUAUAAUGAUUAUUAUUACCCAACUGAUAAGAGUCUACAAAUAUAUUACAUAUUUUGAUAAAUUACUAAAUGUAAAAUUUUAAUUUUAUUGGGCAUACACCUCUUACUGAGAUGAAUGGGGCUGGAUUAUUCCCAUCCCCUUUCCCCUUGCCAGAAGGACAACAAAUUCAUAAGUGAAAAUUCCCAUUACUAGAGAGAGGGGGUUCACCAUGAAGUCUACUCUUGUUUUUUGUGUUUAUGGAUGUAAGCUCUGAGGAGUGUUGCUCACAUAACAAGUACAUAGACUGGAAUGCUACUCAGCUCUGGAUUUCUGAGUUACAUUCUGAAAUCACAUUAAAAAACUAUCUGCCAGCUGUCUUGACUAGGUGCAACUUUGUUGAAAGCAAAGAAUUGAAAAAAUGAUCUGCAAAACGAUUUGCUCUUCAGUCACUGAUGUUUAAUAUAACUCAAGGAUUUCAAAUCAUCCCUGUUAGUAAUCCAAGGGCUUUAAUACCCCAGGGCAGUGCCCAGGGCUGUGCAGGUAAAUUGACUCUCUUGCGAAAAAAGAUAAAGAACGAAGGGGAGAAAGUUCUGCUUUGUAGCUUUUGCUCAUUUCCAUGGUGUAAAUACUUCCAUCAUGGUCAAUUCCAAGCUACCACGUUGACUUUGCUGAUGAGUUGGGAAGCGAUGUGCAUGAUUGGCACCCCCUGCAGGUAUGAGACAGCCCAGUGCACAACUGUGGUGCCCCUCUAAGGGUCAGAGAGGGAGAGGAGUGUGCCUGUUUUUGGAAAGGGACAGGUGGUGGUGAAAAGCAAGGUGGGAGAUGCGGACUGGCCUGACCUCAGGAAAUCAGUUAAUGACAGAGCACCCUUGGAUGCCGAGGACAUUGGUUCCCCGUGCCUUCCUACCCCUUGGAAAGGCUGUGCCCCCGAGGCUCCAUUUGCAGCCUUGUGAAGACAACUGGUUGAGAUUCAGGGUGGAGGACUUGGAGGCAUCCCGGCCACGGCUCACAUCCCGCCUCUACAGCUUACGAUGUUUGAGGACUUGGACUAUUAACUGCUGUGAGUCUUUGUUUUCUCCUAUAAAAUAGGAAAAGCCAAUGCCUACUUGACAAGGGAGUAAGAGGCAGCGGUGGUGUGUGUACAGUGCUGGCAUCCAGCAGAGGCUUACAGAUGGCUGCUACUAUCAGAGUCCUUUCAGUUGAGUUGAAGGGAAGCAAGCAGAGGGUUGACGGCCUAGGUGUUGGAAUGAAGGGAACAGGUGCUUUGCUACUCAGGGUUUUUAUACUCCAAAGCAGUGACUGCUUUGAUUAUUUUUAAAUGCUCACUUCAAAUCAGAACUUCCAGCUUGUUUCUCCCCUUUUCAUAUAAUCUUUCAUCUUAUGGAAUGCAGAGCCUGGGGUCUCCACUAGGAUUGGGAAACACACCAGGGGCAACAGCUUCUCUCUCAGGGAGUGGACCGCAAGGCCAGUCCGUCCGGGACUGAACCAGAGAGUUAGGAGCCACGCAACAAAGGGACUGUUUCUAAGGUAAUUUCACUUGUAAGGCAAUCCUGGAGCCUGGUCCCCCAGCGUUCAUUAGAGUGAAGUUCCUGGUGGCUGUACGCUCCUGUUAAGAAGGCUUUGUAAAGAUUUGUUUACUGAUGACAAAUGGCAGGGCAAAAUUGUGUCACUGCAUUAUAAACAAAUCCAGGGUACAACCAAUAGCUCACAUUGUACUUUAUUUUCCUUUAUAAUAUUAGCUGGACAGACAAGGAAAGUUUACUGGCAAUGUGACUUUUUUCCAAUAACACAGAGUGUCAUUAUAUUUAAUGCUGGCCAGCUACAGACUUAUUUUAACUACAUAAAGUAUGCUUAUCAUAUAUGUUUGUGUGUGUGCAGAAUUUUGCAGGUGAUUUCCCACCACCCGGUCUUAAAAAUAGCCCAUGGAAGGUAAAAAUGUGAAAACCUUGAUAACAGACGCUUUCAAUACAAAAACACCUUUAUACACUUAUUUUAUUUAAAACAGAAAUAAUCCCAGUAACUCAAAACAAAAGCCAAACUUGGUUGAAAACCGAAGAAGGAUAGUAUAAUAAACACAGCCACCAAAGCUUCCCCAGAAGAAAUGUGAUUGGCUAUUCCUCCUUCAAAUGCUACCUGGAGGGAAAAAAUUAAGUAAAUGAGCUUGCCAGAAGGCCCACUACAGCUUCCUCAAAAGGCUUAGGUAUGUGGCAUUACUAAUACACUAGAGCCAUAUUUAGUAACAGUCUCAGGAUCUUUUGAUUAAGCUUCUCCAUCUUCCACAGUCGUUUUUGUCUGCUGGGCUUAGGCUGAUACACAAAACAACCUUAC